This 497-nucleotide ribosomal RNA is filed under the name uncultured bacterium. RNAcentral's name for it is "partial 16S ribosomal RNA". It matches the Rfam family "Bacterial small subunit ribosomal RNA", at positions 28 to 507 of the family's 1533-position model. The record is from RNAcentral.
GAUGAACGCUGGCGGCGUGCCUAAUACAUGCAAGUCGAGCGAACGGACGAGAAGCUUGCUUUUCUGAUGUUAGCGGCGGACGGGUGAGUAACACGUGGAUAACCUACCUAUAAGACUGGGAUAACUUCGGGAAACCGGAGCUAAUACCGGAUAAUAUUUUGAACCGCAUGGUUCAAAAGUGAAAGACGGUCUUGCUGUCACUUAUAGAUGGAUCCGCGCUGCAUUAGCUAGUUGGUAAGGUAACGGCUUACCAAGGCAACGAUGCAUAGCCGACCUGAGAGGGUGAUCGGCCACACUGGAACUGAGACACGGUCCAGACUCCUACGGGAGGCAGCAGUAGGGAAUCUUCCGCAAUGGGCGAAAGCCUGACGGAGCAACGCCGCGUGAGUGAUGAAGGUCUUCGGAUCGUAAAACUCUGUUAUUAGGGAAGAAAAUAUGUGUAAGUAACUGUGCACAUCCUGACGGUACCUAAUCAGAAAGCCACGGCUAACUACGUG